AUGGCCAAUUGGCAGAGUGAUCAGAACACACAUAGCAUUUAUUGAUGAAGUUUGCUCCUGCAGUUUUCACAAAUGUGUGAAACUUGACUGCAUAAUUUGUGGUAGUGGGAGACUGCAUUUGCACUCUCCCC
Molecule: small nuclear RNA, 131 nt
Organism: Saimiri boliviensis boliviensis (Bolivian squirrel monkey)
Lineage: Eukaryota; Metazoa; Chordata; Mammalia; Primates; Cebidae
Gene: U1
Rfam family: U1 spliceosomal RNA
About the family: U1 is a small nuclear RNA (snRNA) component of the spliceosome (involved in pre-mRNA splicing). Its 5' end forms complementary base pairs with the 5' splice junction, thus defining the 5' donor site of an intron.
Source: Ensembl